GACGAACGCUGGCGGCGUGCUUAACACAUGCAAGUCGAACGGAAAGGCCCUGCUUUUGUGGGGUGCUCGAGUGGCGAACGGGUGAGUAACACGUGAGUAACCUGCCCUUGACUUUGGUAUAACUUCAGGAAACGGGGGCUAAUACCGGAUAGGAGCUCCUGCUGCAUGGUGGGGGUUGGAAAGUUUCGGCGGUUGGGGAUGGACUCGCGGCUUAUCAGCUUGUUGGUGGGGUAGUGGCUUACCAAGGCUUUGACGGGUAGCCGGCCUGAGAGGGUGACCGGCCACAUUGGGACUGCGAUACGGCCCAGACUCCUACGGGAGGCAGCAGUGGGGAAUAUUGCACAAUGGGCGGAAGCCUGAUGAAGCAACGCCGCGUGCGGGAUGACGGCCUUCGGGUUGUAAACCGCUUUCGCCUGUGACGAAGCGUGAGUGACGGUAAUGGGUAAAGAAGCACCGGCUAACUACGUG
Molecule: ribosomal RNA, 468 nt
Filed under: uncultured bacterium
Lineage: Bacteria
Description: partial 16S ribosomal RNA
Rfam family: Bacterial small subunit ribosomal RNA
Source: RNAcentral